RNA transcript from Epinephelus fuscoguttatus (brown-marbled grouper), 2456 nucleotides. It is a transcript of the gene named granzyme A-like, with no coding region annotated. The record is from RefSeq and is a predicted model, not a curated record. NCBI's taxonomy places the organism in Eukaryota, Metazoa, Chordata, Actinopteri, Perciformes, Serranidae. The transcript has 6 exons.
GAAAUGGUACUAAUGACUGGGAAAUGACAAAGAAAUGCAACCACAAGGCUUCUACAUUACGAUAAAUUGCAUUUAUUCUCAUGUCAUACUUGCAUCUAUUCUGCUGACGCAUGCAUUUCCACGGUCAGACCACAUCCUCGAGCUCAACACAUAAAGAUGAGUGUGUGCAUCGGGGUGGGUUUCAGAGCAUUCACCAUCACAUCAAAGAGAGAGAUCAGAAGAAAUGUUCUGCCUGAGGGGUUUCACUGUUUUUAUCUCUUGUGUUGUCCUCCUCAUUGUCCAGCCCAGUCAUGGUUCUGAGAUUAUUGGUGGGAAAGAAGUGCAGCCCCACUCGAUGCCUUUCAUGGCUCUGAUGGCGAAUCCGAUCUGUGGAGGGACACUGAUCCAUCCAAAAUGGGUCCUGACUGCCGCCCACUGUGUUGGCAUUAAGAAGGUGUUACUGGGGGUACACUCCAUUAAAGAAAAGGAAAAGGACUCCAGGCAGGUCAUCAGUGUUAAGAGCCAUUAUCCUCAUCCCUGCUUUGAUGAAAAAGAAAAGGUCAAUGACCUCAUGCUGCUCAAGCUUGCCAAACCGGCGAAGCAAACCAAGACGGUGAAAUGUCUCCCGUUGGGUAACACCGUCAAAGAACCAGCAGCUGGCAGCAGCUGUCUGGUGGCUGGAUGGGGGAAAACAAACAACGUUGCCAAGAAAGCUUCAGAUGUCCUGAUGUCUGCCAACGUGACUGUGAUCGACAGAGUGAAGUGCAACUCUCCUGAAUAUUACAAUUUUGACCCUGUUAUCACCAAAGGCAUGAUAUGUGCUGGUUCAGAUGGUAAAAAACAGGUUGACGCCUGUAAGGGGGAUUCCGGAGGACCACUGUUAUGCAACGGAGCGCUCGUCGGUGUCACUUCUUUUGGAAAGGGGUGUGGCCAGAUUAAAAAGCCUGGAGUGUACUCAUUUAUCUCAGAGAGUCAACUCAACUGGAUGAAAAAGACGAUGAAGAAGUCUGAAAUGGAAUGAGACUUUCUUGUUUGUUACUCUGUAUAAAGCUUGUCUAUCUUUGUACUUUUUGCUACGUUCACUUUAUCUUAAAGGGAAAUUUCGGUUUAUUUCAACCCGUCUCCUAUUGUCCUAAAUUUGUUAAAAUGUAACCACACUUUGGAAAGCAGAGCUAAAUGGUAAACAAACAUGGCAGCACACUGGUAAGGUAAGACAACACGUUUACAUGUCGUUUUCUAUAUGUUCUCUUACAUUUAUCCUAACGAUAUGAAGCGGUCUUUGUGGAGAAAAAGCUUGUUUAGUGGACUAACUUUGCACUUGAAGGUUUCCUGUUCACUUAUUAUUGAACAGGUCUGACGCUACUAUGUGCCCUGGCUGUAUCUAGGCUAAUAGCUAACAUGCUAACUAUUAUUUCUAUGUCACUAGUCACUUGAAGCAAAUUUAGGACGAUAGAAGACAGGUUGAAAUAAACCGAAACACCAUAUAGAAAAAGAGAAUCGCAUCAUAGAAUUUUUUUUUAAAGCUGUACAUCCGCAGGCCAGUCCCCAGAAGAUGAUGUUGGCAAUGUACGUUUCUGCGAACCACAAAUACGGUAAUCUUGUCAUCGUGAGGUUGAGGGGAUGGUAGAUGGUGUGUUUUAGACGAGACGCCUGCUAAGCUGCAGACCACUGUUCGAAACCAACAAACAGCGAAACCAUGUGUGGUUUACCAAGUCAUUGCUGUUUUUCCAGCUGCUUUUUAGGCUCCAAAUGCAGGUGCUGUUUAAGGAUCUGUCACUGUGUUUCAAGUACCGUUUUAGGCAUGAAAGUGGCUGUUUUUCACCAAGACCUCACUGCUUUUCCUGCUGGGAUAGUGUCAGAAAAAGCGGUUGUUUUCUGUAGAGACAUUGCUGCUUUUCUAGAUGAGAUUGUGCCCCCAAACAUGAUAUUUUCCCACCACAACCAAGACUUUUUGUGGCCUAAACCUAACCACACACUAACCUCAGCAUUGUUGAAACGUAAAGUUUGAGCGUAUCUACUAUUUAAUAACACGUUAAUUUAACGUAUCAAUGGUUUGCAGACUCAUUCAAUGUCAGCAUUUUUUGUCUUUUUCUGGGGUGACACCAAAGAGCUAAGAUGAAAGCAAAGAAUCAAACAAACCGCUUCACCACUUCCUUCAUCAAACACUUUAACUGACAUUGAGGCUUCAGCUUUGUGGAAAGAUUUUAUGCUAAAGGUUCAUUCUUGGGCACAUUAUUCCUCAUUAUUGAUUCAUAUUGUUACUGCAUGAAACCUUCAAAUAAAUGACAUUUUCUACUAUCUUUAAGGUAGAUACAUAUUUCUAUCUUUCAUUCUUUUUAUGGCUGUCGCAUUUUCAUGACAGUGGCUAGAGUACAGUAAUUUCACACCUUCAUGGCAUCACAGAUUUGUGUUUCAGUUCUCUGGUUUCAAGUCGUGAGAGCAGCGUCCAAAUUAAAAACCUUUGAUGUCUCAGUAAA